GCCAAGAUAGCUCAGUCGGCAGAGCGGCGCAUUCGUAACGCGCAGGUCCCGGGUUCGAUCCCCGGUCUUGGCU
Molecule: transfer RNA, 73 nt
Filed under: Candidatus Moranbacteria bacterium RIFCSPHIGHO2_01_FULL_55_24
Lineage: Bacteria; Candidatus Moraniibacteriota
Description: tRNA-Thr
Rfam family: tRNA
About the family: Transfer RNA (tRNA) molecules are approximately 80 nucleotides in length. Their secondary structure includes four short double-helical elements and three loops (D, anti-codon, and T loops).
Source: RNAcentral